This 443-nucleotide ribosomal RNA is filed under the name uncultured bacterium. RNAcentral describes it as "bacterial SSU rRNA". It matches the Rfam family "Bacterial small subunit ribosomal RNA", at positions 29 to 506 of the family's 1533-position model. The record is from RNAcentral.
GCGAACGCUAGCGGCGGGCUUAACACAUGCAAGUCGAACGCCCACUUUCGGGUGGGAGUGGCGAACGGGUGAGUAACACGUAGGUAAUCUGCCUUUUGGUGGGGGACAACCGAAGGAAACUUCGGCUAAUACCGCAUAUGGCCUUCGGGUCAAAGCCUUCGGGCGCCAGAAGAUGAGCCUGCGGCCCAUUAUUUAAUCCUAGUUGGCGGGGUAACGGCCCACCAAGGGUACGAUGGGUAGCUGGUCUGAGAGGAUGAUCAGCCACACUGGGACUGAGACACGGCCCAGACUCCUACGGGAGGCAGCAGUGGGGAAUAUUGCGCAAUGGGCGAAAGCCUGACGCAGCCACGCCGCGUGGGUGAUGAAGGCCUUCGGGUCGUAAAGCCCUGUCGUAGGGGACGAAUACUGACGGUACCCUACAAGAAAGCGCCGGCCAACUCCGU